AUUUCAUCUGUUCUUCCAAAAAACGUGCAAGAUCAUCAUCUUUUGCUUUCCAGAAGUCCAUCUCAGAGUCUAAUACAGAUACAAUGCUUGCUGAGAAAAGAGGAAGAUCAUCUUCCUUUACCAUUCUUCCUAGGUUCCCUCCCUCCCGGCCAACAAAGAACAACAUAUUCAUGACCUCAGCUCUUCUUCAACGAAACACUGACAUUGAAAGUACAAAAGAAGGAUCCUUGUCAGAAAGUCAGUUGCGGAAUGUCAUUAGACCUGCCAUUUUACAACCUCCACAAGCCCUGACCUGUUCUGAAAAUCCUGUAGUGUCUCUAGUGACUAAGAAACAAGCACAUAUUCAGGUAAAAAGAAAAGCAAUUUUACUGACAAAAAAUAUGUUUGAAUCUCCAUCAAAUGAAUAA
Molecule: long non-coding RNA, 407 nt
Filed under: Coturnix japonica (Japanese quail)
Lineage: Eukaryota; Metazoa; Chordata; Aves; Galliformes; Phasianidae
Description: lncRNA (ENSCJPG00005006704.1)
Source: RNAcentral